CGAGUGAAGCGGCAAAAGCUCGAAUUUGAAAUCCUCUUCGGAGGAGUUGUAAUUUGAAGCUGGUUCUUUAGGGAGUUUUGUUUUUGGCUGCGGAAGUGCCUUGGAACAGGCCGCCGUGGAGGGUGAGAGCCCCGUAUCGUGGCCAGCAAGAUUUUCGUAUAAGGGCUAGCGAAGAGUCGAGUUGUUUGGGAAUGCAGCUCUAAGUGGGUGGUAUAUUCCAUCUAAGGCUAAAUAUGGGCGAGAGACCGAUAGCAAACAAGUACAGUGAUGGAAAGAUGAAAAGAACUUUGAAAAGAGAGUGAAAAAGUACGUGAAAUUGUUGAAAGGGAAGGGUAUUUGAUCCGACAUGGUAUUUAGAUGUCGCUUGCCCCCGUGGCGGGCGCUCCAUCUUUUUACUGGGCCAGCAUCGGUGCUGGGCGGGACAGGAGGUUUCUGUGAAUGUAGCCCUUCGGGGAACUUAUAGAACAGGAUUCAUACGUCUCUCCCCG
Molecule: ribosomal RNA, 488 nt
Filed under: Brettanomyces naardenensis
Lineage: Eukaryota; Fungi; Ascomycota; Pichiomycetes; Pichiales; Pichiaceae
Description: eukaryotic LSU rRNA
Rfam family: Eukaryotic large subunit ribosomal RNA
Source: RNAcentral